This 119-nucleotide ribosomal RNA is filed under the name Pteropus alecto (black flying fox). The record is from RNAcentral. Lineage: Eukaryota; Metazoa; Chordata; Mammalia; Chiroptera; Pteropodidae.
GUCUAUAGCCAUGCCACCCUGAACAAGCCCAAUCCCGUCUGAUCUUGGAAGCUAAGCAGGGUCAGGCCUGGUUAGUACUUGGAUAAAAGACCACCUAGGAAGACCAGGAGCUGUAGGCA